UAAGACCAGUCUCUAUACCCAAUGACCUGGAGAGCUCCAAAAUGUCUCGAAUUAAAGUGACGUUGUCACUGAUGAGCCUGCCAGGCACACAGUACAGUGUUGGAAAAAAGUUUGGAAUAUUUUCUUCAGUGUUUCGUGUAACGUGAAUGAUCCUCCAACAAACGUGGCUGAACUGACUCAGGCUGUGAUCCAAUGCUGGCGAGAAAUCCCGGUUGAAACUCUUACCAACCUAGUGACCAGCAUGCCCAGACGUGUACGCGCAUUUUACAAUGCUAGAGGCGGUCACACAAAGUACUGACUGUAUUGUUGUUAUCGUCUUGUUAUGUUUGAUGUUGCUUUCAAAGAUGGUCCACGUAUUUUGUGGCAAUUUAAAAUUACAGCCGUUUAUUUAUUAAAUACGGACUCAUGAUUUUAUACGUUAUUUCUAUGGCUUUUUGUGAAUCAUGAGGUGUCCGCCCUACAAUUUUUUGAGAAACAAAAUAGUUUGAUGUGAAUUUCAAAAACAUAUCACAGAGACCCGGGAACAUUAAAAAGUCUUUGAAUAAUUCUCCAGAAAGCAGCAGACCGCGUUAAACACGAGGCUGGGGUUAAAUUGACAAAUAUUCCAAACUUUUUUCCAACACUGUAGGUCUGGUCAGGGUGGAUGAUGGACGCCAUCACCUCCCUCAGUCUGAGGGUCAGAGCCUUGGAAAGGAUCUUAUAAUCCGUGCACAGCAGGGAGACUGGUCUCCAGUUUUUCAGCUCCUGCAGGUCUCCUUUCUUGGGCAGCAGGGUGAUGACGGCCCUCCUGCAGCUCAGAGGUAGCCUGCCGGUCCUCACACUUUAUGUCAUGACCUCUAGCAGGUCUGGUCCUAUGAUGGACCAGAAGGACUUGUAAAAGUCAGCAGGAAGGCUGUCUAUGCCUGGAGCUCUGCCGCUCUGCAGGCUCAUGGUGGCUGCAUGGAGCUCUUGCACCGUCACCUCUGCUGCCAGUCUGCUAUUUUCAGCCUCACUGACCUGAGGGAGACCCGCCAGGAAGUUGCUGUGCACUUCUGGAUUAUGCGACCACUCACUCUUAAAGAGGUUUCUGUAGUAGUUGGCAGCAAACUUCCUGAUCUCAGACGAG
This is a non-coding RNA of Xyrichtys novacula (pearly razorfish), 1105 nucleotides long. The record is from the annotation of a GenBank genome assembly. NCBI's taxonomy places the organism in Eukaryota, Metazoa, Chordata, Actinopteri, Labriformes, Labridae.